Molecule: ribosomal RNA, 1368 nt
Filed under: uncultured bacterium
Lineage: Bacteria
Description: bacterial SSU rRNA
Rfam family: Bacterial small subunit ribosomal RNA
Source: RNAcentral
GAUGAACGCUGGCGGCGUGCCUAAUACAUGCAAGUCGAGCGAACGGACGAGAAGCUUGCUUCUCUGAUGUUAGCGGCGGACGGGUGAGUAACACGUGGAUAACCUACCUAUAAGACUGGGAUAACUUCGGGAAACCGGAGCUAAUACCGGAUAAUAUUUUGAACCGCAUGGUUCAAAAGUGAAAGACGGUCUUGCUGUCACUUAUAGAUGGAUCCGCGCUGCAUUAGCUAGUUGGUAAGGUAACGGCUUACCAAGGCAACGAUGCAUAGCCGACCUGAGAGGGUGAUCGGCCACACUGGAACUGAGACACGGUCCAGACUCCUACGGGAGGCAGCAGUAGGGAAUCUUCCGCAAUGGGCGAAAGCCUGACGGAGCAACGCCGCGUGAGUGAUGAAGGUCUUCGGAUCGUAAAACUCUGUUAUUAGGGAAGAACAUAUGUGUAAGUAACUGUGCACAUCUUGACGGUACCUAAUCAGAAAGCCACGGCUAACUACGUGCCAGCAGCCGCGGUAAUACGUAAGUGGCAAGCGUUAUCCGGAAUUAUUGGGCGUAAAGCGCGUAGCGGUUUUUAAGUCUGAUGUGAAAGCCCACGGCUCAACCGUGGAGGGUCAUUGGAAACUGGAAAACUUGAGUGCAGAAGAGGAAAGUGGAAUUCCAUGUGUAGCGGUGAAAUGCGCAGAGAUAUGGAGGAACACCAGUGGCGAAGGCGACUUUCUGGUCUGUAACUGACGCUGAUGUGCGAAAGCGUGGGGAUCAAACAGGAUUAGAUACCCUGGUAGUCCACGCCGUAAACGAUGAGUGCUAAGUGUUAGGGGGUUUCCGCCCCUUAGUGCUGCAGCUAACGCAUUAAGCACUCCGCCUGGGGAGUACGACCGCAAGGUUGAAACUCAAAGGAAUUGACGGGGACCCGCACAAGCGGUGGAGCAUGUGGUUUAAUUCGAAGCAACGCGAAGAACCUUACCAAAUCUUGACAUCCUUUGACAACUCUAGAGAUAGAGCUUUCCCCUUCGGGGGACAAAGUGACAGGUGGUGCAUGGUUGUCGUCAGCUCGUGUCGUGAGAUGUUGGGUUAAGUCCCGCAACGAGCGCAACCCUUAAGCUUAGUUGCCAUCAUUAAGUUGGGCACUCUAAGUUGACUGCCGGUGACAAACCGGAGGAAGGUGGGGAUGACGUCAAAUCAUCAUGCCCCUUAUGAUUUGGGCUACACACGUGCUACAAUGGACAAUACAAAGGGCAGCGAAACCGCGAGGUCAAGCAAAUCCCAUAAAGUUGUUCUCAGUUCGGAUUGUAGUCUGCAACUCGACUACAUGAAGCUGGAAUCGCUAGUAAUCGUAGAUCAGCAUGCUACGGUGAAUACGUUCCCGGGUCU